AUGAAAGACACUAUGGGGGUUCCGCCCGAACCCUAUGACUGGCCCAACAUCUGCCCGCUCCCCGGGUCGUCCAGAGAUCGGAGGUCUGCGUGUGAUCUUUACUGGCACCAGGCCUACCAGAUGAAUCAAGUCUCCGAGACUUGCCUGCCUCCUAUGCGGUAUACUCGCUGUUGCAAUGAAGCUUCAACUGGGCAGCAAAGGUGUUUUCACAAGCCGCGCCCUAUACUCCAACUCUUUUCUACCACGGUGCAUACCUUUCUGGAAGAUUGCACCAGACCAGUCGAGGUAUACGGUUAUAUUGCGGUCCGAGAUGACGAGGAUUAUCGCCGCAAUUAUCUUUUCAACCGAUCCCGAGAUGACCCGCUCACUAUCAACUCGGCCGGCGACUAUCUGCGCUUGUUGAGCCCCAAAAGAGGCAUCUCGAUGAAAUUCGAUUGCCUAGUUGAAGUGGAUAUUAGAACAAAGGCAUUGUCGGGUGAUAGUACAGAUGAUAAUCUUGUUGAUGGAUGCUUCGACCUAAUCGAGGGCCGGUCUAGUUUCGACGUCCUUUCUAGAAUCAAAAUGGAAGGUGAACAUGGUGCUCUUGUUUUUAAUCUUAUCAUAUUUCGAGACAGUGUCGAGGCGACCAUACAUAUGAACUUUUUGGAAGUGCCUGGAGAUGGGUUUGAUAUAAAGAUGUGUGGGUAUACUGCCAUCUGGAAGAACUUGUAUGCCUUCAUAGACGAUAAAGAAUGCGACUGCAAUAGCUUCGUGUCUUCAACUGGGAGUUUUUCACAAUAUUUUGUAGCAGCUGUGCAGAUGGAUGACACAUUGUUUAUUGAUUUUAUGGAGGGGAGUAUGCCAAUUUCAUUUAAAGCGGAUAUUCAUGGCAGCGAAGAAAAAGAAUAUUAUUUCUGUAAUAGUGCUGUGGUGUCUGUGAAAGUGUCUUGGUCGACAGUCCUCUACUAA
RNAcentral lists this ribosomal RNA (948 nucleotides) under Triticum aestivum (bread wheat). RNAcentral's name for it is "partial small subunit ribosomal RNA". Lineage: Eukaryota; Viridiplantae; Streptophyta; Magnoliopsida; Poales; Poaceae. The record is from RNAcentral.